Long non-coding RNA from Scatophagus argus, 531 nucleotides. RefSeq lists it as uncharacterized. The record is from RefSeq and is a predicted model, not a curated record. Lineage: Eukaryota; Metazoa; Chordata; Actinopteri; Scatophagidae. The transcript is spliced from 3 exons.
UUUGUGUGCCUGUGAGUUCAUGUCAGGAAACCUUUUUUGCCUCGUCUUGCCAUGCCAGGAGUUAUUUUUUGCUACAGUUUGCUUUUAGAUCUCAAGUCACAAGGACCCCAGCCGGGUACAGUCUGACCCAGCAUGAUAAUCCCCUUGCUGCCAGGACCCCUAAUCAGCUCUCCUCUCGACCUGAAACAGGCUAGCUAAUGGGAAAGCCAACCUGACACAGAAGGAAUGAUUGUGGGAGGAAACCGGAGAACCUGGAGAAAACCCACACAGACACAGGGAGAAUAUCCCCCAAACCAGGAUCUGCACCUGGAACCCUCUUGCUGUGCAGGUGACGAUGCUAACCACUGCACCACCAUGCCGCCCAUCCACAAAUCAAUCAACUGUGAACUAAAGCCCAUGGGUAGGACAUUUAUCCCUGACUCUUCAUAGCACUGUAAUAUUUUUUUUUCAUGAGGAUGCAAAAAAAUGGCAUCUUAAAACAUUGUGAAGUAGAGUAGAAGUCAGUAGAUGUAACCAUAGAAGAAACGUCAA